This 480-nucleotide ribosomal RNA is filed under the name uncultured bacterium. RNAcentral describes it as "bacterial SSU rRNA". It matches the Rfam family "Bacterial small subunit ribosomal RNA", at positions 29 to 524 of the family's 1533-position model. The record is from RNAcentral.
AACAAACGCUGGCGGCGUGCCUAAUACAUGCAAGUCGAACGGGGAAAGUAGCAAUACGAGUACUAGUGGCGCACGGGUGAGGAAUACAUGGGUAAUCUGCCCUCGAGCUCGGGAUAACCAGUCGAAAGACUGGCUAAUACCGGAUAUGACCACAAGAUCUGAGGAUCAAGGGGUAAAAGGUUUUUCGCUUGAGGAUGAGCCCAUGUGGGAUUAGCUAGUUGGUGUAGGUAACGGCUCACCAAGGCGACGAUCCCUAACUGGUCUUAGAGGAUGAUCAGUCACACUGGAACUGAGACACGGUCCAGACUCCUACGGGAGGCAGCAGUAGGGAAUAUUGCACAAUGGAGGAAACUCUGAUGCAGCGACGCCGCGUGAGUGAUGAAGGCCUUCGGGUCGUAAAGCUCUGUCGUAUGGGACUAACAAAUAGAAGGUACCAUGCAAGAAAGGAUCGGCUAACUUCGUGCCAGCAGCCGCGGUAAU